GAUGAACGCUGGCGGCGUGCCUAAUACAUGCAAGUCGAGCGAACGGGCCUGCAUCUUGCUGCGCAGAUGUUAGCGGCGAACGGGUGAGUAACGCGUGGAUAGCCUACCUAUUAGACUGGGAUAACUUCUAAAAACGGUAGCCAAUACCUGAUAAUAUUUUGAACCGCAUGGUGCAACAUGGAAUGGCGGUCUUUCUGUCACUGAUAGGUGGAUCCGCGCUGCCUUAUCUGCUUGGUAAGGUAACGGCAUACCAAGGCAACGAUGCAUAGCCGACCGGGGAGGGUGGUGGGGCACACUGGAACUGAGACACGGUACAGACUACUACGGGACGCAGGAGUGGGGAAUCUUCCGCAGUGGGCGGAAGCCUGACGGAGCAACGCCGCGUGAGUGAUGAAGGGCCGCGGAUCGUAAAACUCUGUUAUUAGGGAAGAAAAGAUGUGUAAGUAAUGGUGCAGAUCUUGACGGUAUCGAAUCAGAAAGCCAGGGCUAACUACGU
Molecule: ribosomal RNA, 496 nt
Filed under: uncultured bacterium
Lineage: Bacteria
Description: partial 16S ribosomal RNA
Rfam family: Bacterial small subunit ribosomal RNA
Source: RNAcentral